Camelina sativa (false flax) is the source of this 695-nucleotide long non-coding RNA. RefSeq lists it as uncharacterized. Lineage: Eukaryota; Viridiplantae; Streptophyta; Magnoliopsida; Brassicales; Brassicaceae. The record is from RefSeq and is a predicted model, not a curated record.
GAGAAAAAAAAAACACUUCUAGAACUCUCCGACCCAAACAGUUACAGAACAGGAAAAAUCAGAUUCUUGAGAAGACUUUUUCUUCAUCCUUCGUCUACAACAAUAUCAUAUACAAUUGAAACAUCAAUCGAAAUCCAAUUUUCACAAUAAUUUACGGAAUCCAGUGAAUACAACACUAAAUCUGUUGUUAUAUUCGAAGAUAAGCAAUUUCAAUUUUCACUUUUUCAUUUAUCUGGUUUUGGGUUUGUUUUUUUGUUUGUAUUUCUGGACAAAGUAUUGAGAUUUCUAUCAGGUGUUAAUUAUUGUUUUAUAAAUCUAUUGUCAGGUUCUUGCUAAUAUUUAAUAGAUCCUAAGACAGAUAGAUAGCUCGCAAGCGAAACUGUAUCGCCAUCAGCACCUUAAGCCCUUUUUUAGAAGUAAUUCUUGAUAUAGCCACAUAUAGCUGACCAUCAACGUUGCUCAAAGACUGUCCCUGACUUCUCUGGUGAAAUUAGUAUACUGUCUCCACGAAUGAAUGAUCCGCACCUGAAUCUUCCAAGUCGUCUUGAAAGGCUUAAUGUUGGUGAGGCUCGUGAUUCCAUUAUUUGCAGCCAUUUUUUUUGUAGAUUAUAAAAUGUGUAUGGAGUAUAUUGUUGUACGCUAUACUGAUAAUUGCAGAGCUAUCUAUUUAUAGUUCGAGACCCAUGUAUUUAGAA